This 207-nucleotide ribosomal RNA is filed under the name uncultured bacterium. Its description in RNAcentral is "partial 16S ribosomal RNA". It matches the Rfam family "Bacterial small subunit ribosomal RNA", at positions 568 to 774 of the family's 1533-position model. The record is from RNAcentral.
UGCGUAGGCGGUUCAGUAAGCAUCUCGUGAAAGCCCUCGGCUCAACCGAGGAAUUGCAGGAUGUACUGCUGGACUUGAGACGCGUAGGGGCCAGUGGAACUCUGGGUGGAGCGGUGAAAUGCGUAGAUAUCCAGGGGAACGCCAGUGGCGAAAGCGACUGGCUAGGCGCGUUCUGACGCUGAGGCACGAAAGCGUGGGGAGCGAACG